This 466-nucleotide ribosomal RNA is filed under the name uncultured bacterium. RNAcentral's name for it is "partial 16S ribosomal RNA". It matches the Rfam family "Bacterial small subunit ribosomal RNA", at positions 28 to 507 of the family's 1533-position model. The record is from RNAcentral.
GACGAACGCUGGCGGCGCGCCUAACACAUGCAAGUCGAACGAGCGAGCGAGAGCUUGCUUUCUCGAGCGAGUGGCGAACGGGUGAGUAACGCGUGAGGAACCUGCCUCAAAGUGGGGGACAACAGUUGGAAACGACUGCUAAUACCGCAUAAGCCCACGACCCGGCAGCGGGUAGUGGGAAAAGGGGCAAUCCGCUUUGGGAUGGCCUCGCGUCCGAUUAUCUAGUUGGUGAGGUAACGGCCCACCAAGGCGACGAUCGGUAGCCGGACGGAGAGGUUGAACGGCCACGUUGGGACUGAGGCACGGCCCAGACUCCUACGGGAGGGAGGAGUGGGGAAUAUUGCACGAUGGAGGAAAACCUGAUGCAGCGACGCCGCGUGGAGGAAGAAGGUCUUCGGAUUGUAAACUCCUGUUGUUGAGGAAGAUAGUGACGGUACUCAACAAGGAAGUGACGGCUAACUACGUG